RNAcentral lists this ribosomal RNA (632 nucleotides) under uncultured Gemmatimonadota bacterium. RNAcentral's name for it is "bacterial SSU rRNA". It matches the Rfam family "Bacterial small subunit ribosomal RNA", at positions 408 to 1037 of the family's 1533-position model. Lineage: Bacteria; Pseudomonadati; Gemmatimonadota. The record is from RNAcentral.
AUGAAGCUCCUCGGAGUGUAAACCACUGUUGCCCGGGACGAAUAGCUUGAUUAAUCGAGCCUGACGGUACCGGGUGAGGAAGCACCGGCUUAACUCCGUGCCAGCAGCCGCGGUAAUACGGGGGGUGCGAGCGUUGUCCGGAAUCACUGGGCGUAAAGGGCGCGUAGGUGGUUUGAUAAGGGUGUGGUGAAAGUCCGGGGCUCAACCCCGGAUCUGCCGUGCCGACUGUCAAACUCGAGGACUGUAGAGGCAGACGGAAUUCCGGGUGUAGCGGUGGAAUGCGUAGAGAUCCGGAGGAAGACCGGUGGCGAAGGCGGUCUGCUGGGCAGUUUCUGACACUGAGGCGCGACAGCGUGGGGAGCAAACAGGAUUAGAUACCCUGGUAGUCCACGCCGUAAACGAUGGGUACUAGGUGCCUGGGGGAGCGACCCUCUGGGUGCCGGCGCUAACGCAGGAAGUACCCCGCCUGGGGAGUACGACCGCAAGGUUGAAACUCAAAGGAAUUGACGGGGGCCCGCACAAGCGGUGGAGCAUGUGGUUUAAUUCGACGCAACGCGAAGAACCUUACCUAGGCUUGACAUGCAGGAGCAAGCUCUCAGAAACGAGAGCCCCUCUUCGGAGAUCCUGCACAG